This 33232-nucleotide long non-coding RNA is filed under the name Linum usitatissimum (flax). Its description in RNAcentral is "long non-coding RNA (LUSI_LNC002428)". The record is from RNAcentral. Lineage: Eukaryota; Viridiplantae; Streptophyta; Magnoliopsida; Malpighiales; Linaceae.
GUGAAAAAAGUCUGAUAAACAUUUGCUUCUUACUAUCAUUGAUCUUGCUGACAGAGUUUGUUAAUUGGCUUCCGCUUUUAGAACAUGUCUUCACAUCUGAACUGAAGAUUGAUUUUUUUCUUUUUUGAAGAGGAAGUCCUGCCAAAAGCAGUAACGUCAAGAGAACUUGUAUAUGGAGUUGAUAAUUAUAUUUUCUCUCUCAUAUAUUUUGAGUGUUUGGUUGAAAGAUAUAUGUAUCUUGAAGCUUUAACUUCAGUGCUUGUCAACAGUUUCCAGAAAUUUUUAGUAUCCUUGUUGUUAUGAUACCGUCAUAUUAAACCUUACGAUGAGUAGAUGACUACACCCUGUCUGUAACUGGGACUGAAGUUAGAUAUAGACACGAUGAAGUAUUUAUUUUUGUUAUGUCCAUGCUGUUGUCAAGCACCUUGAUGAUUAUGAACAGUUGCUUCUGCUAAAGAUCACUUUGAUAGUUUUGCUUGUUCUUCUUUAUCGUUUUUUUAAUUAAAAACAUAUUUAUACCCUAAACAAGGUGAUAAGGAGAAAGAGCAACCCUAAACAGGUUGAUAAGGAGAAAGUGCAUUUGCGCCGAACAAUCAGCUCCAAAAAAGAUGAGUACUUCUUGGAUGGCAAGCAUAUUACGUGAGUCAAUUCUCUUAAUGUAUUCGUACCAGAAGUUACACUCACCUAUGGAAAUACUGAUUGAUACUAGAAAUUUAAUAUUGGUAGGAAAACAGAAGUUAUGAACUUGUUGGAAAGUGCUGGUUUCUCUCGCUCAAACCCAUAUUACGUCGUGCAACAAGGAAAGGUAUUGCAUGAUUAUAUAGAAUCUCUUGACCUUCUUGACCUUUAUUUAGAGAACAAUAUACUUCUGCUUCUUAUGUUUACGUUGCAUCUUUGUUUUCCCGUAUUGUUUCACAGAUUGCAUCAUUAACCUUAAUGAAAGAUUCUGAGCGUCUGGAUUUGCUGAAGGAAAUUGGCGGUACUCGAGUUUAUGAGGAGAGACGUCGUGAAAGCUUGAAAAUAAUGCAAGAAACAGGCAAGUACAACUUUAGCUGGUGUUGAGAUACGGCAAAAUAGUUAUUAUUAUUAUUUGUUCCUUUUCUAGCAUGUCUUGAUUAGGAAGUUAUUACCUAUAGAUAUAGUAAUAGAGUCCAGUAAGGACAUUCCUUUCUUGCAUAGGAAGUUAGUAUUAUUCUAUUAAGGGUAGUAGUCUUUUUCUAUAAGUACUUGGACUCUAGUAGUCUUUUCCUACAAGGACUUGGACUCUAACCCUAGUUGUACAGCUCUAUCAUUCAAGAUCAAUAAGAACAAGAGGAUUAUUACCUCAUAUUUUGUCAGCUGGUUGUUCCUUUUGCUCUUUCAAUGAUCUCAUAUGUUGAUGUUUGUUAUUCAGGAAACAAGAGAAAGCAAAUAAUCCAAGUUGUUCAAUACUUGGAUGAUCGCCUAAGGGAGCUGGAUGCAGAAAAAGAAGAGUUAAGGAAGUACCAACAGCUUGACAAGCAGCGUAAAUCUCUAGAAUAUACGAUUUACGAUAAAGAACUUCAAGAUGCUCGGCAGAAACUGACAGAGGUCAGUAUCAUUUAGACAGUUAGGCAUGAACAUAGGUUCCAGCUUCUGUUGAUCACAAUGAAGCGGAUGAAGUAUGAUGAGUAUGGCUUACUUGGUUUUGUGGUGAAUCUUAUAGCUGCUUUAGCGGCCUCUUCGAAUUUCUGCAUAUAUAAUAUUGUUGUCCGGCAACAAUGAUAGAUGCUUUCUCUGUAGAAUGCACUGUCAUACACAUUACACUUUCUUGUUGGUAUGCAAUAUCUGGGUAUCUCAUUUGUCACUCUUUCCUUAGGAUAUGUAAGGUCUGGUGGAUUAAUCUUUUGAGGGAUGUUAAAAUAGGGAGUUGGACUCUGCGUAUAUCUCCUCACUGUUACCAUACUUCAAGCGAUUCCUUCUUGGAGCAUUUACGAUUUUCACAUCAGGUGUAGCUAAGGUAGCUUUUGUUUCGCAUGCCUGCUCCGUACUAUUAAACACACAAGAAAUUAAUAAAUGCUGUGACGUGUAAACCCUAUCUGUAGUUGUAACUUACUGAGAGGUGUUUCAUGCCACGCUGGGUUUGCUGAAGUUGAAAACAUGAUGACUUCCCUACUGCAAAGUUUAUAGCUAUUUGUGUUUCCUAUUUCAUCUCUUCAUGCAUGCUUGUUUCAAUAUUCUCUUGCUAACGCAACGUCCAAAGCAUAAUUUGCUUUAUGGGUGGUUGCUAAUUUUCUUUUCGGGGCUGAUUCAGGUUGAGUUGGCUCGAAACAAGGUUUCAGAAAAUUCCUCUAAGAUGCACCAAGAUGUUCUGGAUGCCCAUGAGAGGUGCAAGGAGAUCCACACAACACGGAAAGAUCUGGCAAAAGAACUCCAAGUUUUGAACAAAGAGAGGGAAGAUGUGGAGAAGCGACACACUCAAGCAAUGAAGAUACAUACAGAACUUGAGCUGGAUGUGAAAGAUAUGCAGGAGAGGAUGACUGGAGCUAGCCAAGCCAAAGUACAAGAUGUAUUUUUGAACUAUUUGGAGUUUAAGCAACGUUACAUAUGCAAGACAUAAUGUUCCUUUUGCAGGAUGAUGCAGCUCACCAGCUAAAAUUUGUCGAGAAAGAAAUUCAAGAUUCAUUGGACGAGCUGGAGAGGACUAGCCCACUGUAUGAGAAACAAGUGCUAAGGGAAAAGAAGAAAACUAAAGAGUAUAAUCUUUGCACAUAUUUUCUCGUUGUUUGUUCGUUGGCCGUAAUAUUAAUAUUCGCUGCCAAAUAUCCACUAUCUGGAGUUGUGGAGCUCUAAAAGUUAUUAUUUUCGCUUCAUUUUCCUAUUUAUUUUUUGUGUAGUCCUCGGACACUCUAAGUAUCACAUAAUUCAUGCAAACCUUUUUUCUACGUGUCACCGAUUGCUUUCUUUGGUCGGUUUAGGAUAAUGGAGCGUGAAAAGGAGCUUAGCAUACUUUAUCAAAAGCAAGGUCGAGCCACUCAAUUUGCCUCCAAAGCUGAGCGAGACAAAUGGCUUCAGAAGGAAAUUAACGACUUGCAACGCGUUAUUUCCUCCAAUGAGGCCCAGGCAUGUUUUUAGGAAUUUCAGAAGAGUUGGUAUUUGAAUAUUUUCUUCUGAAUAGAGCUUUGUGUAAAAAAGAUACAUAUAGUAGGAUCUGCUCUAUAAAGAAGGGAAAUGAAAAUAGUAAUUGCAAGAAACAUAUGAUCCCUUCCACAGCUUUAGUACGUGUACAACCAAGUAAAACUGAGAUUUCACUGAUACUGAACUACUGAUGAAGGGAGAUCUUAGAACAUGAGAUGUCAUGCUGUCAUCAUCUUAAUGCAUGUGCAUGAAAAUUUCUUCAUCUGAUUUUGUGCUUAAGUCAUCUUCUACAUCUGGUGUAGGAUGAUAAGCUUCAACAAGAGAUUAAUAGGAUUGACGCUGACUUAGAAAAGCAAAAUAAUUAUAUCGAGACUCGGAAGGCUGAGAUGGAAAGCAAACAAUUUCUCAUCUCUCAGUCACGGAAAGGAUUCACCAAUCACAAAGCUCAGAGAGAUAAGCUGCAAGAUGAACGAAAGUAUGUUUGCUCUUUUUGUGAACUUGUCUGGCCUCUUCAAAUUGCUUGAAUAUAAGAUGUCGAACUUUUCAGGGGAUUGUGGGAGAAGGAAAGUGCACUUGAUGCUGAAAUUGAUAAGCUGAAGACCGAACUUGAGAAAGCUAAGAAGAGUCUUGAUCAUGCAACUCCUGGUGUGAGUAUCCAUUCGAGGUUCUCAUUAGAUCGUAGUUCUGUGCAUGCCAUAAAAGAUUUUUGUAAUCAUCAAUUUAUAUGUGUUCCGUUGCAAAUAAACUGUUCUGCUCUUAUGUGGCUUCGACAUUGUGUUGGUUUAAAGUAUUCAUGAGUCAUGACCAUCAGUCUUGCGCGAGCUUCUUUCUUGGGCCUGCUUAUGCUAUUAUUAGACCAUGUGCAUGUUUUCUUUCUUGACGUGUAAGAAGAUUAAUAUUUGUGCAUUUCAAUUCCAUUGUUGCUGAGUUUCUGAGCUCUUGAAACGGUUUUCCUUGAACUGCAUUCCGAUUUCUUUAUCAAAUCAUGCUAACCAUGCUUGAUAUUUUAACUCGAGUCCGCAUAAAAGUCCGGUACCUACAUAUCCAUAUGAUAAAACUAUCUGCUAUGCAUGCUAGGAUUUCCAUCUGCCAGUGACACCUUGAUCAGUAUUUUUUUCUUGAAUUUUUGCGAAAGCUGUUAAUGAAAUGAAAAAUUUAUAGACAGUUAACUGGCUAUCUGAUGUGCUGUUUCAUUUUGGUGCCUCUCGUGCUUUGAUGUCAGGACGUGAGGAGAGGACUUAAUUCCAUGCGGCGUAUCUGUAAAGAACAUGGCAUCACUGGAGUUUUUGGGCCAAUUAUAGAGUUGCUUGAUUGUGAUGAAAAGUUUUUUACGGCUGUGGAAGUUACUGCUGGAAAUAGGUAACAAGCGGCGUUCUAGAGCAUUGAGUAAUAAAUCUGCUGGGGUUGUGGUUUAUUUAAAAUUGCAUAUUCAUCGUUGGUCUAAGUGAGUCGCUGAAUUGUACUUUUCGGGUUUUAUUAUUUGUGCAGCCUUUUUCAUGUGGUGGUUAAGGAUGAUGUGGUUUCAACUCAAAUUAUUAGACAGCUUAAUGCACAGAAGGGUGGACGAGUCACAUUUAUACCUCUGAAUAGGGUGAAGGCUCCAAGAGUGAACUAUCCAACUAACUCUGAUGAUGUGGUGCCUUUAAAAAAGAAGUUGAAGUUCAAGGAAGUUUUUGACGCUGCAUUUCAACAGGUGAGGUUCAGAUGCACUUCAUUUAUCAGGGAAUGAUUGUAUUGGAUCCUAGUUUUAGAAGGAGAAAAAAUGUUUACCUAGUGUUUUUGUGGUCAAAACAGUGCAAUUGUUCCCUAAGCCCUGAAUUUGUCUGUGGUCAGUAAUUAUAUAUGGCUGUACUGAUUGCUGCUAGCAAAAACGGUAUGGCUGCGCGGAUGGGUACUAGACAAAGGGCACUUCUUGUUUAUGUAGAUAAUAUUUAAUUAUUUUUGAAAAUGACCUUUAUAUGACUUCCGACUUCUGUGUUCUAGCUUAAUAUAAUGCAACACGUGAUAAGCAGCUUAGUUUUUUUACCUACUUCCAUUCACCAAAGUGUUCUACUGAAACAAGUUAGUAAACAGCGUUUAAACUGAAGCCAGUAAGAAAUGUUAUUAUUCUCCUUUGUGCACGUGGGGUUGUUGACUGCACUGGCUUUGUUUGGCCUGCAGUUGACUGGCUACAGGUAGGCUUAUGGUUUCUCGGGUCUUCAGGAACCAGUUAUUUCUUUCAUUCGUUUUGGCUGAAUGAAGACCAGAGAAUUUUGUGGCUGAAGAUUGAGAGAAUGAAUUACUUUUAUUCAUGUCUCGUAGGUUUAUUAUAUACAGCAUUCCUCCUACUGACUAGGUAAGAAAAUAUCUACUCUAACUAUUUAAUAGGAUCUGCUAGCUAAACUAGGAUAGGACUAGAACUAACAUGGUAACUAUCUAACUAGCAAAUAAACUAAUAAGAUCUGACUGUAUACAAAUAAGGAACGGGAUUUCCUCACUCCCCCUCAAGCUUGGUGUAGAUGUUGUACAAACCCAGCUUGGACUUGAAAUGAUCUGACUGUUCUCGUGGAAGUGCUUUUGUGAGUAUGUCCGCGGUCUGCUGUUUGGACUGGACAUAUCUCACAUCCACAACUCCCCUUUCCACCUUCUCAGUGAUAAAAUGCCUGUCUAUCUCGACAUGUUUAGUCCUGUCGUGAUGUACAGGGUUCUUAACAAUGCUUAAGGCUGACUGGCUAUCACUGUAUAGUGUAGCUCUCCCGUGUCCUGGUAACUCUAGUUCCUUUAGAACUCGCUGUAUCCACAUAACUUCCUGAAUCCCGAGAGCAAGUGCUCGGUAUUCUGCUUCUGCACUGCUUCGUGCAACCACUGAUUGCUUCUUACUUCUCCACGUUACUAAAUUUCCCCAUACAUAAGAGCAGUAACCUGUGGUCGAUCUCCUCGUUGUAAUUUCACUGGCCCAGCUUGCAUCAGUGUAUAUUUCCACUGACCUGCUCUCAUUCUUCUUGAACAUCAGCCCCAAUCCUGGGGUUUUCUUUAGGUAUCUAAGAAUAUAGUUUACAGCAUCCAUGUGCUCACUCUUUGGUUCAUUCAUGAACUGGCUAACCACACUCACAGCAAAAGCUAUGUCGGGUCGCGUGUGUGCCAGGUAUAUCAGCUUUCCUACCAGCUGUUGGUAUCUUCCCUUGUCUGCUUUUUCCCCGUUUUCUUCUACACUGAACUUCAGAUUUGACUGCAUUGGGGUAUCUGCCGGUUUGCACCCUGUCAUACCGGUUUCCUCUAGCAAAUCUAGGAUAUACUUUCUCUGGGAUAUAGAAAGUCCUUUGCUCGAUCUGGCCACCUCCAUUCCGAGGAAAUAUUUCAUUUCUCCCAGAUCUUUCAGCUCAAACUCAGUUCCCAGUUUGAUCUUCAACCUUGAGAUCUCCUCAUUGUCAUUUCCCGUAAUUAUAAUGUCAUCAACGUAGACAAUCAAGAUGGCUAUCUUGUUCCCAGCUCCAUGCUUCACGAACAUUGUGUCAUCUGUUUGACACUGAUGGUAGCCAUUAGAUGUUAUAGUUGCUGAAAAUUUUCCAAACCAAGCUCUAGGAGACUGUUUUAGUCCGUACAGGGACUUCUCCAGCUUGCACACCUUUCUGCCGGUUUUAAGAUGAGGCACCCCUUCUGGAAUUUCCAUAUAAACUUCCUCUGUUAAUGCUCCAUUUAGGAAUGCAUUUUUGACGUCCAUUUGAUAUAGGGGCCAGUCUUCAUUUACUGCCACUGACAGUAGAAUCCGAACGGUGUUGAGUUUUGCUACCGGGGCAAACGUUUCCUGGUAGUCAAUCCCAUAUGUUUGUGUAAAUCCUCGUGCUACGAGCCUAGCCUUGUGUCUCUCCACACUGCCAUCUGCCCUGUACUUUAUUGUAAACAGCCAUUUGUAGUCUACUGUUUGUUUUCCUGGUGGUAGGUCAACAAUCCUCCAGGUUUCAUUGCUUUGUAACGCCCUUAUCUCUUCCAAAACUGCCUGUCUCCACUCAGGUAUUCUCAUGGCCUCCUCUAUGUUGCGAGGUUUGGUAUCCAAGUGUACAGUAAACGCCCUAAAUUCAGGGCUUAGGCGGCCAUAGUGAACGUACCGUUGUAUCGGAUGACGAGUGCAUUCUCGCACACCCUUUCUCAAUGCAAUAGGCUCACUGAAUAGGGUUUCCUGUUGCACUUCUUCUUCAGCGAUAUCAGCACUCUCAGAUUCACUAUGAGUGUCCAUCCCUUCACUGUUUCUUCCAGUUUCUGGUUCAGGCUCUAUAUUAGGCUCAAGUCUCUGUCUCCGCUGGUAAACAUGUUGAAUUGGUGGUCUGCUCGUCUCUGGAGCAGGUUCUGGUUCUCCAACUAUGCCCGUAGGAAUGGGAGGCAUAGUUAGUCCAUCCAAAGCAAUUAAAUUUUUCAGAUCUAGAGCUUCUUCUGCUUCUGCCACUGUUGGCUGUGACUGUGUCACACCCUGAAGCUCUAAAGUGGUGUAAUAUGCGAAGGUUUCAAAAAAUGUCACAUCCAUGGUCACCACAACUUUCCUGGUGAUAGGGGAGUAACAUUUAUACCCUUUCUGCCGAGGAGAAUAGCCAAUGAACACACACCUCUGUGCUCGAGGAUCCAGCUUGGUCCUUUGAUGCUGCUGGAUGUGAGUGAAGGCAAGGCAUCCAAAAACCUUAGGUUCCAAUUCAGACAUAUACGCACGUACAUGCGGGUAUGUUUUCAUCAAUACAUCUUUAGGUGUUUGAUAGUUGAGGAUGCGACUUGGUAACCUAUUGAUCAAGUAGGUUGCUGUUAAAACAGCCUCCCCCCAAAGGUACUUUGGAACCUGUUUUGUGAAGAGCAAUGCUCGUGCUGUCUCGAGGAGAUGUCGAUUCUUGCGCUCAGCAAUUCCGUUUUGCUGAGGUGUGUCCACACAUGAACUGCAGUGAACAAUGCCAUGGAGAGAUAAGUAUGACCCUAGGACUGUAUUGAAGUAGUCGUGGGCAUUAUCGGUUUUGAGAACCUGUAUAUGGGUUCCAAACUGAUUGAGUAUCAUGUGAUGAAAUUCCUGAAACAUGGUCGUGGUUUCUGACUUUUCCUUCAUUAGGAACGUCCAUGUUAGUCUUGUAUGGUCGUCUAUGAAAGUAAGGAACCAUCGUGCCCCGUUGAUGUUCUUGACUCGAGUAGGGCCCCAGAUGUCACUAUGGAUAAUGGCAAACGGCUUCGUAGGUUUAUAACUCAUUCCUGGAUAGCUACUAUGAGUGUGUUUAGCUAGUUGACACACUUCGCAUUGCAAAUCCUUGGAACUUUUAUUGAGAAAUAACCUAGGUAACAAUUUUUCCAAAUAUCCGAAACUAGGAUGCCCCAAUCGGCUAUGCCAUAACAUGAUCUGGCUAUCACGAUUAUUCGUGCUAUUACUAGUAACCAACGCUCUACUUUGCCCCCCAAGUCCUUCACCACCAGCAGCUCCGUUCAUGAUGUAAAGAUCGUCAUGUAACUCAGCAGUUCCAAUCGUCUUCCCUGAGCUUUCUUCCUGCAGGNNNNNNNNNNNNNNNNNNNNNNNNNNNNNNNNNNNNNNNNNNNNNNNNNNNNNNNNNNNNNNNNNNNNNNNNNNNNNNNNNNNNNNNNNNNNNNNNNNNNNNNNNNNNNNNNNNNNNNNNNNNNNNNNNNNNNNNNNNNNNNNNNNNNNNNNNNNNNNNNNNNNNNNNNNNNNNNNNNNNNNNNNNNNNNNNNNNNNNNNNNNNNNNNNNNNNNNNNNNNNNNNNNNNNNNNNNNNNNNNNNNNNNNNNNNNNNNNNNNNNNNNNNNNNNNNNNNNNNNNNNNNNNNNNNNNNNNNNNNNNNNNNNNNNAGUAGUUGUCUUCUUCCUCUUCUCCUUUUGUUGAGUUCUGCACCUGCUUGUUGUUGCGGUAUUGAUUGCGCACAGCAAGGGCUGAACUUUCAACUUGAGGGGUAGGAGGAGUUUUCGCUGGAACAACCAUGAGAUCUCUUCGAUGUUCUUCCCCAAAUAUGGCAGCAAACGCUUCCGUGAGACUAGGGAAGGGCUUGGUACUCAUGAUUUGGCUCUUUAUGCUGUCCAGAUCCUGGUUUAACCCUAGAAGAAAAGACAGGGUUCUUUUCUUCUCAAUAUACAUCCUGAAUCGUAGCUGAUCUUCAGGGGUAUCCCAUUCCUGUGCAUCAUACGUAUCCAGGUGUAGCCAGUGAUGUCCAAGAGUAUUGUAGUACUCUGUGACGUCCAUAUCUCCUUGCUGGAGAUGGAACAGCUGCUGUUCGAUCUUGAACAUGGCAGACGAGUUGUCAAUUGUUGAGUAUGUAUUUCUGGCAGCAUCCCAGAUGGCCUUGGCAGUCGGGUGAAGGAUAUAAUUCUCCCCGAUGUUUGGCUUCAUGGAGUUGAUCAGCCAGGUACGGACCAAACUGUCAUGCUCAUUCCAGGUUUGGAAUUUUGGAUCUGUCUCGUCUGGAGCUUUGAUUUUUCCAGUGAGAUAUCCUCCUUUUCCUCUUCCUGUGAUAUGCAUCUCUACGGUCUUAGACCACUUGAGAUAAUUUUUGCCAUCCAGCCUGUGUGUGGUGAGGAAGCUUGAGUAAUCCGUCGUCGCUGCUGGUGCCACGGAGUUCGCGAUCUCUCCAGCAGUAUCGGAUCCGUUUGAAGCUCCGUCUGUCACCAUGGCUUAGGAUUGCAGCGGAAUUGUUUUAGGUCAGGUACAGAGUAGGCUCUGAUACCAUGAAGAUUGAGAGAAUGAAUUACUUUUAUUCAUGUCUCGUAGGUUUAUUAUAUACAGCAUUCCUCCUACUGACUAGGUAAGAAAAUAUCUACUCUAACUAUUUAAUAGGAUCUGCUAGCUAAACUAGGAUAGGACUAGAACUAACAUGGUAACUAUCUAACUAGCAAAUAAACUAAUAAGAUCUGACUGUAUACAAAUAAGGAACGGGAUUUCCUCAGUGGCUGAUAAUUGCUUGCAUAUUUUUUAACAGCUUUAUUUGUCUACUUCGUAAGGAACUUGUGAGUACUACUGUACCAUAGGUGAUCCUGGCCAGAACUGGCUUGUGUUGUCUUGAAAUUUUGGCUCUUGGUUGGUUCUUGUUUGUAUUUUUAGACUGCUACUUUUUCUUGUAGGUAUUUGGUAGAACAGUGAUCUGCAGAGAUCUAGAUGUUGCCACAAGAAUUGCUAGAACUGAUGUUCUGGACUGCAUUACAUUGGAAGGUUUGAUAUUUGAUUUACGCCACUAGUCUUCAAUUGUUUUCUUGAUGUAUAUAUCUAACUCGGUCAAUGUUCCUGGUAGUUGCUAACCGUAGAACUUGAACCUAGUUUGAGUCAAUAUUGCCAUCCACCUUUGUCCUAGUCAGCCCUUUUGAGGUGCAUGUCUGUACCUUAACCAAGGAUUCUUCAUCAGGUGAUCAAGUAAGCAAGAAAGGUGGCAUGACUGGGGGAUUUUAUGACUACCGUCGCUCAAAACUGAAGUUUAUGACCGUUAUCAUCCAGAGUCAGAAUUUGAUAAAAGUGAAAGAGGGUGAGCUGAGAGAUGUUAAGUACGCUCUUGAAGAUAUCCUUUGUCAUACUUAUGUAAAUUCUGUGGUUAUUUUGAUGCCUGUCGUACUCAAUAUUUGUUUCAGUAAUGUGAUUUCAAACCAUGCUUUCACUUUCACAAUCUCGCAUCCAUGUCCUGCUGUGCUCCUGUGUCCCCCUCUUUGCAAAUAGAGACCUUAUUCACAAUUUUGAUUCAGUCAUAUGUGGUCAUUAGAGGUUGCUUUCACGUCAUAAGCUGACUUCUAGUCUCGAGAUGAAUCAACAGUGCUAAAAUUUGAGUCAUUUGUCCUGUUUGUACUUAACUAGUCCUACGUGUAGAGCGGAAAAUCACUGAGCUUGUAACAGAGCAACAGAAAACUGAUGCUCAGCAUGGGCAUGAUAAAUCAGAAGUUGAGCAGCUUAAACAGGAUAUUGCGAAUGCUAAUAAGCAGAAAGAGCUAUAUUCUAAAGCCCGGGACAUGAAGGUGCUCGUAGACAUUUGGGUCCUUUAUGGAAAAGCAAUGACUUUCUUGUAUUAUCUCACCGUUUUUUACCAUCCUGCUGCAGGAAAAAUCAAUUGCUGAUGUGCGGACUCAAAUAGAUCAGCUUAAAGCCAGUAUGGCUGUGAAAGAGGCUGAGAUGGGUACAGAACUCAUUGAUCACUUAACACCAGAUGAAAAAGAGCGAUUAUCAGAAUUGAACCCCGAGAUAAGCAAACUGAAGCAGGAGCUUAUAACGUGCCGAACAGAGCGUGUUGACGUAUGAAUAUUUUUAUGGCUUUUAGAGUUAAGAAUGUGAUAGUUUUAAUGUUUGCCUUACAUGUACUUUUUUUUACUUGUAGACUGAAACGAGAAAAGCAGAAUUGGAGACAAAUCUUACAACCAACCUCAAAAGGAGAAGGCAAGAACUAGAAGCCAUAAUAUCCUCUCCAGAAGAUGAUGCGCUGCAUAGUGAUGCUGAAUUGAAGGCACAAGAAUUACAGGAUGCUAAAUCACGAGUUGAAGUUGCAAAACAAGACCUUCAAAGUGAGGGUUCCUUCUCUUCUGACCUUUUCCUUGUGCAGUUUGUGCCUACUGUAGAAAUCCAGAAUAAUGAUGAUUCUGGUAUGUUGUUAUUUCUGUAUAUGAUUGAUUAUACAUAUAUAUAUACAAGGUCUGCACCAUUAGGGUGCAGAUUCACCUUAUUGUAAUCCCUACAAAUCAGGGAUUACACUACCUACUACUUACUACUAUUAUUCUGCAUAGAUUAGUCUAGAAGGAUCNNNNNNNNNNNNNNNNNNNNNNNNNNNNNNNNNNNNNNNNNNNNNNNNNNNNNNNNNNNNNNNNNNNNNNNNNNNNNNNNNNNNNNNNNNNNNNNNNNNNNNNNNNNNNNNNNNNNNNNNNNNNNNNNNNNNNNNNNNNNNNNNNNNNNNNNNNNNNNNNNNNNNNNNNNNNNNNNNNNNNNNCUAACAGGACCCUCAUCCUCCAUCUUGAGUUCCCUUAGAAUGCGCCUUAGCCAAACUCCUUCACAAAUCCCAUCUGCCAGUGCCCUAUACUCUGCUUCAGCACUGCUUCUUGAGACCACAGUCUGUUUCUUACUCCGCCAGGUCACUAAGUUCCCCCAUACAUAGGUGCAAUACGCUGAGGUUGACCUUCGAUCUGUAAGGUCUCCAGCCCAACUCGCAUCCGUGUAUAUAGAAAUUCUGCGGCCAGAGUGUUUUUGGAUUAGCAGUCCAACACCUGGUGUGCUUUUUAAAUAUCUCAAAAUCCUCAUCACUGCCUCCAUAUGUUCUUCAUUUGGAUUGUGCAUAUGUUGACUCACGAUGCUCACUGAAAAUGAGGUGUCUGGACGUGUGUGUGCUAAGUAUAUUGGCUUUCCUAUCAAUUUUUGGUAACUCCCCCUUUCUACUGGCGCUGCUUCUUGGCCAAGAUCAAACUUCAGAUUGUGUUCCAUUGGUGUGCUAGCAGGUUUGCACCCAAUCAUCCCAGUCUCCUUUAGCAAGUCUAAGACGUAUUUCCGUUGGGACAAACUCAGUCCCUUACUAGUCCGUGCCACUUCAAUUCCUAGGAAAUACCUCAAAUUUCCUAGGUCUUUUAUCUCGAAUUCCAGUGCCAGUUUCUCCUUGAGCUUUCUGAUUUCCUUCUCAUCAUCCCCUGUGAUGAUAAUGUCAUCAACAUAUGCAAUAAGAAUGGCCUUUCUUCCUUCCUGAUUUUGUUUUAUAAACAUAGUAUGAUCAGUUUGGCACUGAUAAUACCCGUAUCCUUUCACUGAUUUUGAGAACCUCUCAAACCAUGCUCGUGGUGAUUGCUUGAGGCCAUACAGUGCCUUCCUCAGUCUGCACACCAUUCCCGGUUCAGUGGUGACGCCUGCCGGGACACUCAUAUACACCUCCUCACUUAAAUCUCCGUUUAGGAAAGCAUUCUUCACAUCUAGUUGGUAUAGAGGCCAAUCUAGAUUCACUGCAAUGCUUAGAAGAACUCUCACAGUUUUCAGUUUGGCUACUAGAGCAAAUGUCUCCUCGUAGUCCACUCCAUAGCACUGUGUAAAUCCUCUGGCUACAAGACGAGCCUUAUAUCUCUCAAUUUUUUCUUCUGAGGUAUACUUCACUGUGAAUAUCCACUUGCAAUCAACCGUGGAUUUCCCUGCUGGCAGCCUUACUGUAUCCCAUGUCUUAUUUUUCAGGAGUGCAUUUAUCUCUUCCAAUACUGUUGCCCUCCAGUGAGGUAUACUCAUAGCUUCUUCAAUAGAGUGAGGAAUUUCUGUGUUAUCGAGAGUCCCCACGAAAGCCUUGUAUUUCUUGCUUAGAUUACCAUAUGAAACCCAUCUCUCAAUAGGAUGAGUAGUACAAGAUCUAGUUCCCUUCCUGUGUGCAAUUGGAAGGUAGACUGUAUCAUCCACCCCAAUCUCUUCUACACCAGCGUCCUGGAUUUCCUCUGUCUGGUCAUGAUUCCCGACCAUAUCACCAUGUUCAACCCCUUGAUCCAAUUGUUCUGACUCGCCUUCUUGGGAGGCUAGGGUCUCAUCAAAUUCCUGGUCAGGCUGAGCAUGUGUGUUUACUGUCGCCUUCUUCCUACGCUGAUAAACCAGGAGAGGAGGAAUUUGGCUGGUGUUUUCUGUGGAAGAGGGGUGGACGGGUUGGACUACCUUAGGAGGCUCUAGAACAAUUUGAGAUUCGAGAGUAAUAAUACUCCCAAUGGAGGACUCAACAAUAGGAUUUUCCCCCUGAGGCGGACAAUGGGAGUAGAAAGGAUGAUUUUCAAAGAACGUGACAUUUUUUGAGUGAUAGACUUUGUGGUUGCUUGGAGAGUAACACUUGUAACCACUAUGAUGAGAAGAAUAUCCAAGAAAAACACAUUUGACUGCUCUAGGAUCAAGUUUAGUACGAAGAGAUGAAUCUAGAUGGACGAACACUGUACAGCCAAAUAUUUUAAGAGGGAGGUCAGACGAUAGAGCAUGACUAUGAGGGAAAAUUUUGAGAAGAACACUACGAGGAGUUUUAAACCGUAGGGUUUGAUUUGGGAGGCGGUUGAUAAGAUAAGUGGCUGUGAGUACAGCGUCACCCCACAAGUUCUUUGGAGCCUUGGCAGCAAACAGUGAUGCCCUUGCAACCUCCAGCAGGUGUCGGUUUUUGCGUUCAGCAAUCCCGUUCUGCUGAGGAGUGUAAGGGCAAGAGCUACUGUGAGCUAUGCCGUUGGCAGCUAGGAAAGAACUUAAGAAUUGAUUGAAAUAAUCCUUUACAUUAUCAGUGCGAAGAACUCGAAUAGGAGUUUGAAACUGAGUUUUGACCUGAUUUAGGAAAUUCUAAAAAAUAUCUUUAGUUCCAGUCUUUAAUUUCAUGAGGUACGUCCAUGUUAAACGGGUAUGGUCAUCAAUAAAGGUGAUGAACCAUCGAAACCCACUGACUAUUUUUACAGAACACGGACCCCAAAUGUCGCUGUGAAUGAUGGAAAAAGGAUGUGUUGGUUUAUAUGGUAGGCUAUGGUAGACAACUCUAGUUUGUUUUGCAAGUUGACAGACCUCACAAUAGAAAGAACUCGGACUUUUAUUGAUAAACAGUUUAGGAAACAGUUUUUUAAGAUAAGAGAAACUAGAGUGGCCUAACCGGUAGUGCCACAUCAUGACAGGACAGUCUAACUGGGUUGACCUAGAACUUAGAUGCACUGAAUUUGAACCCUCUCCCCCUGGCCUUAAUCCGCUUGUUGUACUCAGAAGGAACAGUCCGUCACACAACUCAAACCUGCCAAUCAUCCUCUGAGAUCCCACCACCUGCAAUACACAUUGUGAUGGAUCACAGGUUAGUCGGCAGUUAAGGUCUUGUGAGAUCUGACUAACAGAAAUUAGGUUACAAUUCAGUUUAGGAACAUAUAGGACAGGGAACACAGCCUGAUUUGGAGUCAGGUAGGCUGUCCCAAUCCCUUCGACUGGAGCAAUUGUUCCAUCAGCGAUACGGACUCCUGCUUUCCCUAUGUGAGCCUGGAUAUUGUGGAGCAGCUGUCUAGAACCAGUCAUGUGUUCAGUAGCACCAGAAUCCAAUAUCCAGUGUUGUUUGAAAUGGUUUUGAGUAAGGAAAGCAAUGGAUCUAAUACCUUGGCUAGCAAACAGGCUGUGGUGAGUUUUAGAGGGACUUGCGGGUUCCUUCCUAGCAGUGUAUUGAGCCAUCAUCUGCUGGAGGAUCUCCAUCUGUUCUCUGGUGAUCUGACCAAACUGUUGUGCUUGGUCAGUUGCAGCAGCCUGAGCAUACGCCUCCCUUUCUGCCUUAGGUUUCCAGUCCGCAGGCUUCCUAUGUAGCUUCCAGCCUGUUUCCUUCGUGUGCCCUAUCUUGUUACAGUGAGUACACUGAGGACGGAGCUUUCCAGACUUGGUGUACGCACUUCCUUGAUUUCCAGUGUACUGAGUGGCAAGGGCAGAACCUUCCACUGGGAUAUUCUUAGAAUCAGGGAUCAUGAGCUUUCUCCUGCUCUCUUCCUACUUGAUUUCAGCAAACGCUUCCCUGACUGACGGAAGAGGGAGACGGCCCAUGAUCCUCCCCUUUACCUCAUCAAGGGCCUGAUUUAGACAAAGGAGGAAACGGAUUGUCCGUUUGGUCUGGAGGAUUUGGCGAUACAGCUCUGCAUCUUCUGUACACUUCCACAGGUGGACGUCGUACAGAUCUUGGUGCAGCCAGCACUUGCUCAGUUCGUCAUAGUACUGAGUAACUGACUUUUCCCCUUGUUUGAGAUCAUGGAGACGCAUCUCCACUUCAAAGGCUUCAGCCUUGUUAGCCUGAUUGGAGUGUGUGUGUCUGGCUCCAUCCCAAAUCUCAUGAGCAGUUUGGUGAAGUAGGAACUUUUCACCAAUGGACGUGGUCAUUGAAUUUAGGAGCCACGACUGGACCAUAUUGUCCUCAAUAUCCCAGUUGACAAAUUCUGGGUCAUCCUCUACUGGCUUCUUUGUCUUUCCGGUCAGGUAUCCCCUUUUUCCCUUUCCUGAGAUGAAUUUCAGCACGGAUGACGACCACUGUAGGUAGUUGUCUCCGUUUAGACUGUGAUUUGUGAUGCAGCCUAGGACAGAUUCUGAUAGGACUGCUGGAGUUGUGCGCUUCAGUGAUGGAUCCUCUGAAGUCACGGAUGGUGACUGUGGAGGGGAGCUGCCAGUCCGAGGAGUUUCGGCGUUGGUGUUGACCAUGAUUGGAGGAUGCGAAAUAGAGAAGGAGAUAGGAGUAUAGGAAGAGGAAGAACGGGGCUUAGAUCUAGAUCUAAUGGAUAAACCCUCGCUCUGAUACCAUGUAGAAAUCCAGAAUAAUGAUGAUUCUGGUAUGUUGUUAUUUCUGUAUGAUUGAUUAUACAUAUAUAUACAAGGUCUGCACCAUUAGGGUGCAGAAUCACCUUAUUGUAAUCCCUACAAAUCAGGGAUUACACUACCUACUACUUACUAUUAUUAUUCUGCAUAGAUUAGGCUAGAAGGAUCAAAUAAGACAGCUAACCUACUCUGAUUUCUACGCCUAAUCAUGAUCUAAUUAUUGCUGUAAUUCAACACCUACCUACAACGUUUUACCAUUAUUAGUUGAUGAUAUUAUCAGGAGUUUCUGGUAGCAUAAAUGAGAUAAAAAAGGAGCUGAAGAAGAUAAAAGAUGAAAAGAUAAGCUGGAAGGUAAAUUUCUUUGACUGUUUGACACCGGUGGUUAUUCUGUUACUCUAGCUAAGAAUUACAAUUUCAGACGUUAGAAGACAAACAUGAGAGUAUACUCCAGGAUCAAGCCAAGGAACUGGAGCAGCUUCUGAGUAACAGGAAUGUGCUUCUUGCCAAGCAAGAGGAAUUCUCGAACAAAAUUAGGGAACUGGGUCCCCUUUCAUCAGAUGCUUUUGAUAUGUAAGACUUCACUGUCGAACUUUCUUUUAUCCCGUUUCAUGUGGCACAACAAAUUAUACGGAUUUUUUGUUUUACAUCCUUUUUGGCGUUUUCUUUGUUGACAAGUAGCGAAUAACAGCUAUUUAUGCUUAACAUGAUACAUUGCUCUCGAGCUGAAUUGUGUCUGCUACGGGUAUUGUAUCUUCCGUUUGAUUGACCUGCUCCUUGCCAUAUUAUAUAAUUUAGGCACAAGCGAAAGAACAUCAAAGAGUUGCAGAAACUGCUCCAUAAGUGCAAUGAGGAACUACAAAAGUUUAGUCAUGUAAACAAGAAGGCACUAGAUCAGUAUAUAAAUUUCUGGGAGCAACGAGAAGAACUCCAGAAAAGGCAAGCUGAACUUGAUGAAGGUGAUGAGGUAAUAUAUUGCUUAAAAAGAAUUAUGAUUUAAGAUACGUGGAGCCUUCACUUGUUAGUUGACAAUGUGUACUAUGGUUAACUCCUAAUAUUGUUUCAGAAAAUCAAGGAGCUUAUAACAGUUCUAGACCAGCGAAAGGAUGAAUCUAUUGAGCGUACCUUCAAAGGUGUUGCCAGACAUUUUAGAGAAGUUUUUUCUGAACUUGUACAAGGGGGUCAUGGCCAUCUGGUUAUGAUGAAGAAGAAGGUUGUGUGGAUGAUUUUCGUUUCUUCUCCCUUUACAUUUAUUUUCCCCCCUUUUGUUUUGGUUAAGUGGAGCCGGGUAUGAAUUGCUGGUUUUUUUAGAAUGUGGUAAGACGGUCGUAUGAGAUUGCUGUCAGUGGUUUACCAGGAGUCUCUUGAAUCUGGACUUUAUUCUUCUGGAUUGCUUCAGUGAACCACUUCACAAUUUGAUUUCCUAUCAUAUUAAGCCCCACAUUCUUUUGCGAAGACCUAUGGACGCUAGGAAUCUUUAUUCAUACUAUUAAUGCCUUGUUUUGUAUAUAUUUGUCCGUAGUGGCUUGCUUCAUUAUUUUGCAGUUCCAUCUAAUCUUGAGUGAUUUUGCAGUUGUAAUUGGUAGAGGUUAAACACACUUGUUUUUUAGCGACUAUAACUUGCUUCUAGGUCUCUUAUAUAUCAAUCUGAUUCAUAUAGGAUGGUGAUCAAGGGGAUGGUGACAAUGAGGAUGAUGAACCUCGCCAAGCCGAUGUGGAAGGAAGGGUGGAAAAAUACAUUGGCGUGAAAGUAAAGGUAGUGGCCAAUGUCUUUCUGGGUUGUGUUAUGCUGGAUCUGACUUUAAUAUUUAUAGUGAUUCUGAAGAUGUGAAGAGUUGUAACAUGGUUUAUAUUGUAUAUCCAUAGGUGUCAUUUUCAGGGCAAGGGGAAACACAGUCAAUGAAGCAGCUGUCGGGGGGCCAGAAAACUGUAGUUGCAAUGACUUUGAUAUUUGCUAUACAACGAUGCGAUCCUGCUCCUUUCUAUCUUUUCGAUGAAAUUGAUGCGGCACUGGAUCCUCAGUAUAGAACAGCUGUUGGGAGUAUCCUUUGGGCCCUUUCUAUAUAUAUAUAUAUAUGUUUUUUUCUUCUACUGCUACUUGGUAUGUUUAAUUGAAGAAAAAGAGUUUGGAUCCUUAAUGAGUUUGAAUUAGAUAUGAUACGUCGGCUGGCAGACAUGGCAAAUACGCAAUUCAUAACAACAACAUUCAGGGCGGAGCUGGUGAAAGUAGCGGACAAGAUAUACGGAGUGACACAUAAGAACAGGGUGAGCUUGGUGGAUGUUGUGUCCAAGGAUGAGGCCUUGAAGUUCAUUGAGAAUGACCAGUCCCACAAUGCUGUCUGAUUCAGAUUCUGUGAAGUAAGUUUUUAUCUAGAGAAGAUAAGUAAUUAACACAGGAAAUAGCCUUUUGUUUGUUUGUUUUUGUGCUGGUGGUGCUGUGCUGGUAGUAGAGACCAGUAAGUAAACAUAAUGACUUGAAUUUCGGACUUUGUUAGCCAAGACUGGUUGCCUCGAUGUUGAAUUACUAUGUUAGUAUCCAUUUAUUCAUGUUCAUCUUUGUAUUUAUAAUAGAAAAAUGUUGGCUUCCUACUGCCUUGGUUGCUUAGCCUCGAUAUUUUAUUUAAUUUUAUUUUCCCAAGGAAGCUUUUGGGUAUUGCAUUAUUGCUAAAGAGCUCAGACAGGAUUCCGGCGGUGGAGUUGUCCAAGUUUCCUUGUCCGGUGAAUAUAAUUAGGGCAGUGACAGAUUCAAUUUGAUGGUCACCAUAAAACUCUAUAGACAUGGAGCAGUCAUUCAAUAUAUUUUAAGAUCAUAUUUGGUCAUUAUAGUAUCAAAUCAAAUGAGUUCAUAUUUGUAGCUCAAUUAAGUGUGUAUUUAUUAUUUAGACCCAACUAACUUUGUGAGAUAUUUCAGUUCGGUUAAUACAUACCUUUUUCUUUUUUGUUUAGUGACCGGCUUCAGUACAAUGACCAUUUAAAUUCUUAACCCAUAAAUUUAACCAAACUAUUAGAUCAUAGAUAAACUUGAUAUUCCAACUGCAUGCAUAUAUUAAAUAGUCGAUCAUAAUAAUUUUAUUAUUCCAUACCGAUCGAGUUUGUGAAUGGUUACAAGUGCGGAGUGGGCAUUCUAGGAUGUAAGAGGGUGAGUGUUGAGGCCAAAGCCGAAAGGGAAAAGUGGGUCAUAAUGUGAAUCACCCACAUUCAUAGGAAGUUGGUCAACCGACUUAAACCACAUCCUCGCAAGCUUGCCCGUGAAUCCGAAGUCCCCAAACAAGAGGUCAGUGACGCCUUGGCCUUCACUUCCUGGAAGCCAAGCAGCUACAAGAGCAUCAAUCUUGGAAAGGUAAUGUGGUUGGAUCACUACCGGACGCCCUGUGAUCAAAACGACACUUUUCACAGCUCCACAGACAUUGUUGAUUGUGCUAAGUCCAAGUGCUGGUAUAGUCAGGUUUAAGCUGUCACCGAAUGUCUCUGCAUACGGAAGCUCACCAACCACCACAAUGGCGUAGGAGAAGUUGUUCGACUUUAUGAAAUUAGCAUUUGGUUUCUCCUUGUAUACAACUUGAGUAGAGGGAUCAACUGCAAUUUUCACUGCUUUCAGGAUUGUAGUACCUGCAUAUAAUACAAUAAUGGAUUGAAACCAAACAAAAUUAGGAGUGAAAGUCGAAUAUAUAUGCACUUUAUAAGGGUAGUUACUCUUUCAAAAAUAAUAUAAAUAGUCAUCUUGUAUCAAUACAAGAUGAAACAUUUAAAUAAUCAUAAACACGUACUAAUGUCAGAAGCUGUCCCUCAUAUAUAUUCAAAACAAAUGUUAGAAGCAAGUUCCAAAUCACACAAUCACACGAUUCUCUUUAACUUUAGUUUGGCCACAGUAACACCAAAUAUCAAUCAAUGCUCGUCCCUGAUAACCUGUAAACAUCAGGUGGAUGGCUCGGGGCCAGUCCUCGUAAAACACAAUGAAGAUCACAAUCAUCAAACACAUAAGCAAUAUGACUCAUAAUCUUUCCGUAUUUUAGUCGGGAUCCCUGACUCACGUAUGCUGACGAUUCUCGGCUUUUACAUAUCAUUGAUGGCACAAUUCAUGCCCAUUUCACUUAUCAUUGGUUGCACCAUCAAGGGCCCAUUAUUCGCACCCAUUCGGGGCCAUGUACACGUAGUAGUAGUGCCAUAUGCAUACACGUAGAUCGCCAACAUACAUGGCGUAAUCUAGGUGAUCAAACAAUUCUAAUUAUUAUACCAUUAACAUAUACUUGUGACCAGAAGAACAAUGAUCGAAUAACAAAUCAUAAAACAUAUAUCAUACCAAUCAGGUACACCACCACAUUUAUCACAAUCAAUGGUCAAUUAAUCAUGUACAUUUGACAUUGUCAUGUUGUCAGUAUUUAUCACAUAUUCCAUUAACUGAUUACGCAUAUCAAAGAAGCGUAAUUGUCAUUUCAAACAUUAAGUUAAUUAUUAAAAUGGAAUUAACCCCUUAAACCAGCCCACCUUAGGUGAAUCACUUCCAGUUUGAAAUAUAUGUCCACAGUCCAAGAAUCAGUCAAUUAUACUCUUUCGUAACUGUCCGGGCUAAACUGUAAAGACUGAGAAGUAUUUGGGCCACGACUGUCCUGUCCGUAUUUAAAAGUUAUGAGUCACACGGGAAAUUACAAAAAAAUAAGGAUUAAAUUGGAGAAUAAAUCUUAAGGGACUAAAAUAGAGUUUACCAUCAUCUUCUGCCCACUUACAGGGAUAACUUCUUGAUGGACGUGUGAUAUUUCGGUGAGCUCUAAUAGUCAUGGGUUUGGCCUGGAAUUGGAAACUAAGGACAUAUAUAGCUUCCUAGACCCGUCACGAAUCUAAUGAGAUCGUUAAGAAGCAUGGGCUCGUUUGAAGCAAUUCAACGCAACUCCCAUCAGAAGUGUAAUCCGAGAAAAUGAAGAGUUAGUUUGGAGUGUUCGUUGGGAUAAUUCAGAAAACUAUUCCUUACCUUUUGAAAUGAAGAAAUGAUCGCCAAAAUAACCGCGAAGUUAUCAAGACAACACAAGUUUCGUAUAUGUCUAAGGAUUACUCUUAUUAUGCUUUUAUUCAAACUCGUCAACACGGUCUAGACUGAAAGAAUUGAUUUUGGUUUCUAAUUAUUCCAGUAGCUCAAUUAAAACUAGCAAUUUAGGUUUGAACAGAAGGAGAAGACUAGUUCUUGGAAGGGAUGAUUCAUCAAACUCAGCUUCCUAAUAGUAGUCAGAUCAAGCAAAUGUUGGACUUGGAUUGAAUGAUAUCAAUCCUUUUAUCACUCGUAUGAAUCUGUGGCACGAUCAUGCACGCGGAUUACCACUAUUAGCUUCCCAAUCAAGGUUGGAAUAACCUCAAUUAGGUUAAUCGAUAAUGAACACCGAGAAGUUCUACAAAGUGAUAAGGUGCUCUUUAUGAAUGAAAGGAAAUCAAAAGAAAUUGGAAUUAGCGGUAACUUGGUUCGUCAGCACCUAAACUACUGAUAACUACACCCAACUUGGUCCAUUAGGUGCAAACUAGAACGCCCGCCAAUUAUUUGAUAAACAACCGAUAAAACCAAAGGUAGAAUCGAGCUAUCCGCUUACCCCAACAAUAACUUUCUUCUAUCUUAUAUUGUUAAUCAUAUGAGUUCCUAAGUCGAUCAAACAAAAGAUUUCAUAGAUUUGACCUAAUUCAAGUCCUAACAAGAACUAUUUUGAAAACCCAAUUCAUACAUCCCAUCCAAGGAACUCUAAAGAAUUAGCUACUCAUAACUUUAGAAGAAGAGAAAAUAGAAAAAGACCUAACCACAAUAUUGAUGAAGAGAUAAUGACUUGAUCUCGAUCCAAUCUUUGCUUUUGAUCUUCUAGCUUCAAUCUUCAAUGGGGACUCCUUUGCAUCUUCAAUUGGACUUCUAGGGAUGGAGAUAUGGUGUUUUUGCAGGAGAGGUCGUGAAAAAAUUGAAGGAAUUCGUUCUGGGGAAGUCUAAUUCUCUUUUCUCGAAAUCAGCCUUUUAUAGGGAAACUGCUGAUUCUAUGAGGUGCACGUCGUAGAGGGUACACGUCCUACACCCACUUUGCUGAAAAAACGUUCGUUCCAAAAAUGGCUGCACGCCGUGCAUGGGUGCACGGCGUGCAGCUCUUCUGCUUCCCCAUUUCUUAUUUUAUUCUUCCGUCCGAACUCCAAUCUUGCUCUAUUCCGUAUCCAAAGACUCGUAACCUGACCCACUAUCUCUAGAGUACAUGUGGAUAAAAAAUACUAUAAAGAAACACAUCAAAUGGACCACAACGGUCCAAGUGAACGGGUCUAGACACAUAAUGCCAAAAGACGAACAAGUUAGUAACCAUCAAAAAGCAUGCAUAUAGGGAUAGAUAAUCACUACAAAUUCUAGCACUAUCAAAUCCCCCACACUUGAAUCUUGCCUGUCCUCAAGCAACUUUACUAUUCGCACUUUAAGCAAACUCUAAAACAACAUGCUAGCAGUUCAAGUCUACUUGAUGAUGCCAAGAACACAUUCUAGAUCAUUCAACAACACAGUUUCAUUUACAGUCCUCCAAUCCAAAUAAAGAUCAAACCUAUGCAUAUAGUUAACACCACUCAACGCCCAUUGACAAAAAUAUUUCCCCUAUCACUUACGAUCAAAAUAGAUGGUCCUGACUGGGUAUUUUUUUCGUCCUAAGGGAGGGAGUGCUUACUUUUAUAAUUUCUCCAAAUCAGAGCUCUCCCCCCUUUCUUUUACAAUUUUCCUAUACAUGAUAUGCUAAACACUAUGGAUCAAUUGAAUUUCUCAAUUAAUUACAAACCCAUCUUUCAAAAUUUUGUAUAGCUUUGGAGGGUAUCUUUCCAAGUGAGGGUAACUGCGACUCUGAUCGGGCUAAGGUUCUCAUCCACAUAGAUCAAAUUCACUCAAAAAAACCCCGACCCAAAACUAGGAAGAGGUGAGAAGAGAAGCUUGAAGGGAAUAACUUGCAGGCGGCAGAUUCAAGUUCGCUAGUGUGUUGAAUCGCAACCAAUCCCCCACGAUCAUUUGGGAACAUUGACCUCUUUUGCACCUUAUUCAGACCAUAUAGUCACAUAUGACUUUAAACAACUUGAGUGACUCGAUAGGGGAAUUAAUUGUUCAUAAAGUCGGUAGACAUCAAGUGUGCAUUGCAACUAAUCAAGUGAAAGUUUCAUUUUAAUAAACAACCAACAAGUCAAUGAAAUAAGCCUCCGAAAUCAACUAAAAUUUGCUGGACGAAGUGCUAGCAAAGAAACCUAUAGCCAUCUUUUAUCAUUUUGCACAAAGGACCUAAAGAACUACGAAACUCAUGGUGUAAUCAGAUUAAAAUACGGAUUUUUCGACUAAAUAAUGUUGCUGAAAUUUCUUGAACAAUAGGAAAAAGGUCAAGUUUUUCAGAAAGAAUUUUUUAAAAACACUUAUACUACUACUACGAUUUAAAAAAAAAAUCUAAUCACGUUCUCAUUUUAACCAACUCAUCAACAAACAAAAACCUUCACUUUCUUUUACAAAUUUUAAACAAGUAGAGCCUGGCUGUUUUACCCCCCGAAGAUGUUCCUUCCCUUUCCUUUCGAUUUUUCAGAGUGAGUUGAUUCCACCGGUUUUCGAAGGACUAAAAAGAAAUAAAAAAUUAUUGGUUAGUUUCGGANNNNNNNNAUAAAAAAUUAUUGUUUAGUUUCGGACAAAAUAGAGAUUAACAAAAAAAAUAAAGAGCAGAUUAUAAACCUUCAUCUUUGCCUCUGUCUCGCUGCCGUCGGGACGUCUUCCUCUCCACCGAUUCCCCAUAAAAAAGUACCAACAACAACAUAACAAAAUAAAACCAUAAGAAUAAAACAAAAUAUAAACACUUUCAAACCCUAAACCUGGAGAUCGGGGCUUGCAUAUCAUUGGAGAUACCGGAGCGUCCUUCUAUGACAUGCAAGCCUGGACAAGAGAGAAAGGAGAGGAGAGGAAGAAAAGGGAAAAAAGGAAAAAACGGGGCGGCUGCCGCCGCCGCAGCCGAGAGGUAGAGAAGAAAGGAGAGGAAGAGGAGAAGUAGAGGAAGAGAAGAAGAAAAAAAAAGAAAAAAAGAGGAAGAGCCAUGACGGCGGAGGCGACAAUCGAGAGGAAGAAGAAGAGAAAAGAGGAGGAGAUUUGGAGAGAGGGGAGAGAUUUUAGGGAGAAGGCAGAGAUAAUUGAGAGGGGAGAGGAGAGGAGAGAGAGUGAGGCGCUGUAAAAUGGUCGAUUUUAAGUGAAAAUGGUCCUUUUAUACGGUCAGUUAGUGUUAGAGUGAAAUGACUGAACUGCCCCCUGCCUCCCAUCUUCAGCGCGCAAAACUUCAGGACAAUUUUGUCUUUUCAUUUUUUCGGUCGAACCGCGGGGAAUCGGUUUGACUAGUCGAACGCACGGGCUGUCCUCUUCUCACCCGCCGGGUCAGGCCCGUCACUCGGUUGGGCCCAACUUAAGUUUGGGCCCAUUGACUCACAAAGGCCAAGCCUUUUGCAAUUAAAUAUAUUCGCGUCUGAUUAAAGCCUUAUUAAGAGCGAAAUAAAAUCGAAAUAAGAGUGAAAUAACAGCAUAAUAAAGCUCCUAAGUUAUUCGAUGUUUUUAUCUUAACGUUGUAAGCUUAAAAAAAACUCGAAACUUUACAUUUGUUCGAAUCAAUACUGUAUUUUGAUUAACAUUAAUAUAACGACAAUAGAACUACCAAAUCAUACAAAAUAUUUGUGGCAUAUUUAUGUAAAUAAAGGUUUGUUUCCCGCCCUGCAAUGUGUUUUUAAUUAUGUCAAAUCAAGUUAAUAUAAAUGAUUUAAUUUUUCAUUUGAAAAAUAAUGUGAAAAUUUCUUAAGAAUAAACGUUUAAAAAUAUUAUAGCAACGUUUUAUAAAUUUUGUACUAUAGACAAGAGUUUUGGAUUUUGCUAAAUUAUUAAUUAAUCCAAAGUAGAAUGAGUAAGUGCCCAAAUUGCAUGUCAUUAUAAAUUUUUAUUACUCCUAUUAACAUUAUAAAUAAUAAUAGUCCGAUUACGAAUCAAGAGGUUCGUAAGUAAAUAUAUUAAAAUGUGUAUUUCUCCUCAGCAUGCCACCACCUUCGGUUUCGGAAUACCGAAAUACGAGGGUUUUCGUUCUAAAAUUUUUGCCAUCAAAAUAAUUAAAUAAAUAUAUUGUAAAUAAAAAAUGAACAUGAUAAUGUAAUUUUUACAAUAGUAAAUAUUACGCAAAAUCCUUAGAAUUUUCCACAAAAGUGAGAAUUCAUAAAUCCAAACAAUUAAAUAAAACAUACUUAACUAAAAAUAUUUAUCAAACAUAAAACGAAUUUUUCACAAAAGUGGGAAUUUGUAAAUCCAAAAAAUUAAAUAAAAAAUACGUAACUAAAAAUAUUUAUCAACAUAAAUCAAAAUUUCCAGAAAAGUGGGAUUUUGAAAAUCCAAACAAUUUAAUAAAAAUAUCCAACUAAAAAUAUUCAUCAACAUAGAAUGAAAUUUCCGCAAAAGUGGGAAUUUUACAAAGACCAAUAAUUAAAUAAAAAUACUCACCAAAAUUACAUAACCUUCCACAUUGAAACUAAAAUAUAAUUAAGCAAUUAAAACAAACCAAAGAAAACAUAACUUAUCGAAUUUCGUAGUACCGGUUUACCGGGCGUUGCAGGGGGCGCUAAUCCUUCCCCGCACGUAACUGCCUCCCGAAUCCAAGAUCUCCGUUUCGCAGACUUGAUCUAACUCGCGUCCAAAAGGACCUGUGUAGGUUGAAAAAUAUCCUCUGCCUCGUAUUGAUAAUAUGUUAUAUUAGCUUUAGGGAGACGCAGUUCUCUAUGAUUGGUUUGAGGUUGGGGCAUUAUCAGUUAAAGGUAGUGGAGGAAGAUGUACCUAAGACAACGUUUCGAACCAGGCAUGGUCACUAUGAGAUGUUAGUGAUGCCAUUCAGGUUAACCAAUGCCCAUGCAUGAACAAGGUGUUUCAUGGAUAUCUAGACAAAAUUGUCAUAGUAUUUAGUGAUGUCUACUCCAAGACAGAGGAAGAGCAUGUAGAGCACCUGAGCGGAGUUUUGGCUACCUUCACGAGGGAGCGAUUGUAUGACAAAUUCUCUAUGUGCAACAUCUAGCUAAGUGAGGUGUUAUUUUUAGGACAUCUGAUCAGUGGACAGGGCAUCGAGGUGGAUCCGAAAAAGGUGGAGGUGAUAGUGAAUUGGUCACCGCCGAGGAGCUUGACCAAAGUGAGGACUUUUCUGGGUAUGGCAGGGUACUACAGGAAUUUUGUGGAGGGGUCCUCAAAGAUAGCAAGGCCACUCCAUAAGCUGACCAAGAAGGACACGACAUUUGUGCGGAGCAAGACCUGUCACGAGAGUGUUGAGGAGCUGAAGAAGUGGCUCACCAUCGCACCAGUACUUACCUUACCGGUUGAUGUGGGUAAGUAUGUGAUUUACAGUGAUGCCUUGUGUUCGGGGUUAGGCUGCAUUCUGAUGCAAGAUGGCAUAGUGGUGGCUUAUGCACUCCACCUGUUAAAGGUGGAUGAAAUGAAUUAUCCAGUCCACAGCUUUGAGCUAGCAGCAGCGGUCUAUGUACUAAAUCUGUGGAGAAACUCCUUGUAUGGCGAGACAUUAGGAUCAAGACUAAUCACAAGAGUCUCAAACACUUGUUGGAGCAGAAUAAGCUGAACAGCGGGCACAAGCAUUGGGUAGAGCUGCUUAAGGACUACGACUACAUAGACUAUCACCCAGAGAAGGCCAAUAUAGUCGCUGAUGCCUUGAGUAGGGAGGAAAGAUUGACUGAGCUGGUCGAGAUGAGAAGCAUGGGUACCAAGUUGGAGCUCAAUCCAGUCAGGGGGUUACUGGCAAGGUUGGUGGUUUAGCCUUUAUUGAUAGAUCAAAUUUUUGAGGCUCAUGCGUUAGAUGAGUUGCUAUUGGAGGCUCAACAGCGGGUGCCAACCGGCAAGGUUACGCCCUACACCUGGAAAGAAGGCAUGAUGCUUUUCCAGGAAAGCGUGUAUGUUUCUCUGGGUCCAAACUGAGGGAGGAUAUUUUGGAUGUGGCGCAUUCAUUUGCUUAUGCUAUGCAACCAAGAGAGAUGAAGAUGCACAGAAUACUUUAUCCUCACUACUAGUGGCCUAGCAUGAAGAAGCAGGGGAUACAUCAUAUGGCCAGCUAUGUGGCGUGCCAGAAGGCGAAGUUUGAUCAUCAGGCUUUAGGAGGGUUGCUUCAUCCCCUACCAAUCCUAGUGUGGAAGUUUGAGGAUAUCCCUAUGUACUUCGUCAGUGGCCUUCCCUUGGUGAAAGAUGCGGUUUGAGUCAUAGUGGACGAUUAUAUCAGAUCGUGACCCAGUUUCACCUGGUAUUUCUAAAACGACUUACCUGCUACCUUGAGGACGAAGCUAAAUUUCUCUACAACUUAUUACCCCAAACAGAUGUUCAGUUAGAGCUGACCAUUCUAACCUUGAAGGAUCUGCUUCGCUCGUGUGUUCUAGAGUUUGCUGAACCUUGGUUGAAGGUCUUACCGAUGACAGAGUUUGCUUAUAUGAACAUCUUCCUCCGCUACCUUCAACUGAUGAUGCCCCAACCUCAAACCAAUCAUAGAGAACUGCGUCUCCCUAAAGCUAAUAAAACAUAUUAUCAAUACGAGGCAGAGGAUAUCUGUUCUUGAAAAUCACAUGGUUCACCCUCCUAUAGUCUAUGCACAUCCGCAUAGAUCCAUCCUUCUUCUUCACAAACAGCAUUGGUGCACCCCAAGGUAACACACUAGAGCGGAUUAAAUCCUUCUCUAACAUCUCCUGCCACAGCUCCUUGAGCGCCUUCAACUGAACCAGCAUCAUGCGGUAGAGCGCUAUGGAUAUAGGUGUUGUGCCCGACACCAUCUCUACAUUGAAAGCCACAUCUCACUUAAAAGGCACCUCCGGUAAGUCAGCUGAAAAACAUCAAGGAACUCCUGAACUGCUGGUACAUCCUCAAUCUGUUGCCCUACAUCUAGGAGGAUUUGAUCUAGGAAAGCCUCACAUCUACUUUUGAUCAGCCUUUCCGCCUUUAAGGAAAAAUGAAAGGACGCGUGUGGUGCAUCUAUCUCUAAGUCCCCGUUAUGAAUACUCCAUCCUUUUUAGAUGUAGAGAACCUGAUUGACUUCUUACAAUCCACCAUGGCCCCAUGGUGCUCCAGCCAAUCCAUCCCCAAAAUCACAUCAAACUCAUUAAAAGGAAAAACGAUGAAGUUUGGUGUAAACUCCGUAUCCUCAAAGAGCAGACUUGUACAGUAUAUCACACACUACUGUAUAGUCCCGAGAACCCAACAUUGUAUUCCUGACAACCUAAAUACAAUUCUCUUACAGUAGAAAAGCAUUCUCUAAAUCCCCACCUCUGAAGAGCUUUCAUUGGUAGAGUCUGAUCUAAAGCAGCCUCUCUGGAGCUCAAUCUUUUGAUUCAUAUGACAUGUAGAGAUCAAUCGUAGGAUUGAAAAGCCAAAUUCCCAAAUCCUAAUCUGUCUGGAUUUUCCUACGUAGGAUUCAAAUCAAGGAUUAUGAAGGGAGGAAGAAGAUAGAUUGCCUUCUGAAGCUCCCUCAAUGAUCUCAAAGCCCCUCCAAGUGAUCUGGGAUCAAUCAACUUGACCUUUUCUUCCUCUUGAAAUCGAUCGACGUUCGUCAGUGAGAAGUUUCAAUUAGGUUUCUAUAAAUUUUGAGUUGGAAGUCGCGACUCUACUAUUAUAAAUAGUCCACCAUGCCCGUGAAAACCUGGAAACCAUGCAAGUGACCUACUAAUGGUCAUGGCCUUGACUCCCUGAUGGUCACGCUCAUGACAGACUUUUGAACAUGAUCGUGGUAUGUCUGUCAACCACGUCUGUGAUUGAUUGGCUUUCACACCCGUGACUGUCCAUUGAUUAGCAAAUUUUUCUUGAACUCACAGAACAUCUGUUAAAAGCCAGAGUGGAACAAAAACCCAAAAUUGAGGUGUCACACCAUCGAUCUAGACUUAAUAUUAAGAGAUUCGAGUUAAAGAUGAAGCCGAAAGCAUCUCACUCACGCGUUUAGGGAUAGUGUCUAUGCGCUCAUUAUGAACUCUAGAGGUCUUUCAUUCGGGGUUGUAAUGUGGACAGAAUUGAAAAGAGAAGGUGAAAUGACUUUGGUGGUAAUUACACAUAAGUGGCGGACAACUCAGUCUACUCUAAUAUGGAACUAAGGUACUAAAACAAUACAAACUAUGCAAGGAUUCAAAAUUUCUUCAAGAUCUUCAAGCUAGCUUGUCUAUCCCUUAUGUUAACUAUUACAUCAAGCUAUUCUACUUGUUCAUUCUAACUAACUCUUCAUUUUUUAUUCUUUUAUUUUUCUUAUCUUGAGACUGGGUUUUUUUGUUCAUGCCACACUUGAUGUGGAAUUUGCAACAUUAGGCUUGGUGUAAGCGGGAAGAGUUCGGGUUACCAUUAUUUUAGAAAGAUGAGAAGUGUAGUUGUGAUCCGAGUCUGGUUCCGAAUAUUCUUCGUACCACGGUUCUUCUUCAUUUCCCACUAAACCUCGUAGAGAUUCUGCAACCGCUUCUUCUUCGUCUGACCCCGAGUGUUGAUGAGAGUUUUGAUUCGAUUUGGAUCGUGUCAAUAUUGAUGACGUGCAACAAAAUCUCACCAGCACAAAGAAAAAAAAUAAAAACGGCAAAAAGUAACUGUAGAAGAAAAAAUUUAAAGCAGAAUUGUAUGACUAAACCUAAACAAACUACUUUCAUAUACAAUAAAGAUAUCCCCGACAAUGGCAUCAAUUUGAUAAAUGAUUUUACUUAUCUCAAAAUAAAUCUAGUUAAUGAACUAACUAAAGACGAAUCUCCCUAGGGUCUCUUUAUGUAUUCUACUCAAUGUUGCAAUAAGUAUUAAUGGUCUAACAGGAGUUGUGGUUUAGGUACCAUGAGAACCAAUCGAUCAAUAAAAAUAAAAUGAAAAUUCAUAUGAAGUAAUGAUUGCAAGACUGCACGAAUAUGAUUUUAAUAAAUCAAGGAUGAAACUUCUUAGACUUUGAAUCCCCUUAGGUAAUCUAAAUUCAUAAAUGGCAGAAAAAUUCAACGAUUUAAACGAAACAAGAUAAAUUCAUUUUACCGUCGAAAUUCUUCUCUAAUCAAAUCACGCCCUUUCGAGUAUGCUGCUUUGUUACCUAUCUAGAAUCAUUCCGCUCUUUCGAGACGAAGAGCUUAAACCCACUAGGCGAUUAAAAAAAUAAGAAUUGCUCACAAGACAAACUAGUUUAUUCACUCCCGCAUGAGGGUUAACGUGUAGAUAUGUAAGCUCUCCCGAGUAUAAGAAAAAUCUAACAAAGAUCCAUUCAAGUUGAUCAGGAAAGAACAUAAACGAAAUCGAAAUCAACAUAUCCUGAACUUUAUCCAACUCGCAUAAAUCAUCAAAUGUAGUCAAAUUAUAUGUUCAUAAGGAUAUAACUAAGGUUCAUCUAAUCUAAGCACAUGAAUUUUAGCACUCAUAAUCGAAGAGAACAAAUUAGAUUCAAAAGAAGAAUAUAUCGAUACUAGGGUUACAAGAAGAAUCUCGAAACAGCUAAUUUCGACGAUCUUUCGUAAGAACUUGAUUCACCAUCUUCAUUAUUGGUCCCAUAAAAGCUCCUUAGUUUCUUUAAACAUGCUCUGAAAACUCAUAAUUAUGCUCUCAAUUUUGAAAUAGAGGAGAGACGACCUUUAAAUAUGAGUUUUAGAUCCUGAAUUCUGUCAGAUUUGUCAAAGAUUGCGCUUAACCAUUGUCUUAAUUAUGCUCUCAUUAUUGCGCCUUUCUUAGGCCCAAUGUUUGACAAGGCUGCGGUGCAAUCUUUAACCAUGAUUUUAAGGGACCGAUGUCACAUAUGGCUCCUAACAUUGUCAAAUAUUGCGCCUUACCCUUGGUUCAUUCCUUCUUGUCUAUGUAUGCCUGUAUUGCUCCAAAUAGUGUCUCAAUAUCAUUUUGUACCUUAUAUCUCUAAAAAAACACCAAAACGACAUCAAAUGGACCCCGACUGGUUCCGAGAUAUUAAAGCGAGAUAGAAUUUAGAAAACGCAAAACAUCCUAAACUUCUACCCGAAGCUAUACAGUUAUACAAGAAAUGUUUCUUAAAUGAGGGCGAUGAACGCGGCAAACCGAACAUCAUUGAUAGACUCCACUCUCGGCCUCUACAACAGUGUAGAACUGAAGGUAGACUCCCAGCUCAUCAGGGGAGAUGCUGUGGCACUUCACCCCGCCCACAACCGAAACGAACCUUCGAGGUGGUGAAAAUGUAGCAGCCAAACUCAAGUGUAGCAAAGAACUCCAUAACUACGUGAGGAUAGAUGUUCUUAUUCACCAUAAUCACCUUCCAGAAGUGGUUGGACUGGUAGCAGUAGUUGCAGACUGGGUUUAACCAACUUCUCCUUGAGAAAUACUCGCCUGAGUGAUUGCGGGAAGAUGCUGGAUGGUCUGGUAGAACGUCCAAUAUGCGCAACACUCCGGGCAUGUGAAGCACUUCUCAUGGAGGAGCAGAGGAGGAGGCACUGGUUGGCCGGUAGAGUGUAAGAGGCUGGAACUACAAGCAACAGAUCCGUAACUGGCUGAGCUAAACAACAAAAACCAUCAUUCCUUUAUUCCUCUUGUUAGUCUUGGUAAUCUUAGGUUUUGAAGCCAUCCUGAAAUAUUUAAUAAGUGUGAGCAUCCUAAGGAAUAAUAAGCUAAGGGCACACCAAUAAAUCAUACUACUUAAGAAUUACAUGAUCAAGCUAGCUCACAAGUAGUCAUGGAAAUAUGUAAGGCAGAAGAAUGUGGAAAUCCAAUGAUAGGUACAUAGUCAUUCACAUAGGUAAUUAACUAGCAAUACUAUGCAAAUGCAAUGCUAAGUUCACAACUAAGCAUCAACUACCAUAAUGAAUCAUCAAAAGUGUACCAAUGAGUAAGAUAAGUAUAACAAGUAUGAACAAAGCAUCAAGAAAUCAACUAUGCAACAUUCAAGUUAUAUCAUAGGAGAUACCAAAGGACUAGUAGCAGGUAACAACCCUAAACCAAAAUAAUGAGCACAAUAUGCAUAUUCGAGAGCAAUGGUAUGAUCAAAUUUGAGCAAAAGAGGGAAUAAGGCAUAGUCACAUAUCAAUUCAUCAUUUAGAAGCAUCACAAUCACCUAGCACAACCCUAGGUACAAGAUUCAAAAUCAAACCAAAAAGAUGCAAUUCCAAAGUUUCAUCACAAAAUUUCAAUGUUCAACCAUAUUUGCUUCAAUAUUCAUCCUAAAGGCAAAGCUAGAUAUUAAUUUAGGCAAUAUCAUCCUAUCCUAGCAUUUGCAAUGUUCAACAUCAUCAUCAUCAUCAUUCACCAAUUCACCACAUUUGACCUCAAUUUACCCUAAACCAAAACUAAUUCAACCAUGACCAACAAAUGGAAUUCCCCCAACAGUUAAAGAUUUUCAUCCUUGAAAAUUAAAGAACGACAAAGAUCCUAAGCAAGAGGUUAAAAAUUCAUGACCACAUGCCAUCUAAACCAUCCACAAUUCAAUCCACAACCCAACAAUUUAAACCAAACAAGUUUGCACAACCCUAAUCAUGCACCUAUGAACACUUCAAAUUUACAAGCAAGCACAAUUUGGGGCACAAAUCACUCAAUCGAAUCCCAAAAUCCUAAUCAUGCAUACAAGAACCAAUUGGAGUUCACAAUCAAGUCAAAGUCAAAAGUUUCUAAUCUAGUUUAUGAAUUCGAAGCAAAAAAUUGAAAUCGGAAGAACUUGGCACAAGGUUGGACUCGGGGGGGNNNNNNNNNNNNNNNNNNNNNNNNNNNNNNNNNNNNAACAGAGGAAGGAGGGAGAAAGAGGUUGGUGCGGCGGUGGUCUGGAGGGAGGUGGUAGAGGUUGGGUGAGGGAAGGGUGAAGGGACGGGAGAAGAGGAGCGAUGGUCUAGAGGCGGGGUGUCAAAGGGAUCAACGGAGAAGAGGGAAGGAAAAGAUGAUAGGGGAGGAGGUGGCAACGAGAGGGCUAAGAGUGGAUUUUGGGUGAAUCAGGAAGAGGAAGGUUGAGAUUUGGGAACGAUC